Pseudoalteromonas citrea is the source of this 343-nucleotide non-coding RNA. The record is from Rfam. NCBI's taxonomy places the organism in Bacteria, Pseudomonadati, Pseudomonadota, Gammaproteobacteria, Alteromonadales, Pseudoalteromonadaceae.
UACUAUAUUCGGGUAUCGAGAAAAGCCUCUACGAUUUAGUAUAUUAGUAACCGUACCGCAAACGAACACUCGUGGGUAGGUGGAGAACACUAAGGCGAACGAGACAACCAUGGUUAAGGAACUCGGCAAAACAGCGGUCGUAACUUCGGGAUAAGACCUGCCUCGCUUCUAAUUUAGAAACGAGGCCGCAGCGAAAGAGCUCAGGCGACUGUUUACCAAAAACACAGCUCUCUGCAAACUCGUAAGAGGAUGUAUAGGGGGUGAUGCCUGCCCAGUGCCAGAAGGUUACGUGGAUGAGUGCAAGCUCUGAAACUAAGCCCUGGUGAACGGCGGCCGUAACUAU